CAGUAUCUGUGGAGAAAGAACACAGUAUGUUCAUAUAACUUUAAAAAAAAAAAAAAAGGGGGUUUUAUCCAGUCAAGCCUACAAGACAUCACAGAGAGAACUACAUACAUUUACUUAAUUAAAUUAGAAUUUAUUUUUCUGUCUAAGAAAUGCUGUUCUCACUGAACAGAUCAGCCAGCAUCCCUUUUUGUAGCAUUCUGCCCUGCCACUGUGGGGACAGUGAGGCUAUGGACAGCUGAGCUGAGCUGUUUUCACCCACCCAUAGCUAGGAAGGUUGCUUCUGCAUCACUGCUUCUAUUGAGAGCAGUGGAGGGAGAACCAGCAGAAGGAGCUACAGCUAGAGGGUGCUGCUUACCUAACCCAGACAGAAGGAUUUUCUGUUGCUUACACAAGUAAGGGAACAGGGACACUGAAUCCUCCUCUGACUGCUGUUCUCUCUUUGCAGGUGUACCAUACAGGCAGAAGACUGGAAUGUCUUCUGUUAAUUUCCUGCUAUGAAAAGGAGAGCUGUGCAUGGUGCCUGCAUCUGUUAGCAGCAGCAGGAGAUGGGUUGCUUAAGGAGGAUGCUACCUUUUCCUGAUCAAGAUGGGAGAAAUAUUCAACAAGUGGGAUACUGGCCUCCAUGGUGCUCAUCUCCCACCUGUUGGGUUGCCUGUUCUUGCUAGUUCAAGCCUUGCAUUCCUGACUCUUGGAUUUCAAGACAAGAGGCCUUUGUCUCCCACAGAAAAGGAGAACACAUCAGAGGGAAGAAGUGCACAUUCUGCCAAUUGCAUGCAGAAGAGCAGUUUCUGUGAAGUUACCCUGCCCCAUUUGACUGUCUGCACCACCGUCUUGUGCUAGUGGCUCACACAACUUGUGUGCUACAUACCUUGUGUUGUUUUAGACUUACCUGGCAAUGAAAUGGUGGGGGUUUCCCCUUGUUUUAUGCAGAAUGUUUUUGUUCCUUAUAUUAAAGGAAAGCACAGGCUAGGAAGAAAAGGACCACAUUGUGCUGGCCUUCAUUUCACCGCUGGCAAGCCGCAGCACAUUUUGGUGCUAGUGUCACUCAUGAAAUUCAACAAUUCGCUACCUCACUGGAACCAUAGAAAAUUAAAAGGUGUUCUGAAGGAGCCUGCUAGCUUCUGGAAAAGCCUGGAAUCUCCUUUACUGCACACAUGCGCAUACAUCCCGCUGCCUCUUUGCAUCUCUCCUGCAUCAGAGCCUGUAUCGCCCUCCUGUCAGCCCUUAUCGUGCAGCCUCCUCACGCAGCUGGAAACCAAAGCACGAGCUCUUAGUAUUUGUUCUCAUCCUCAGCAGUGCUGCAAGGGGCAGCCUCCCUACGUCUUCUGCUGUACGACACUGAGAGGAGAGCACAGAGGACUGGCCUCAGAAUAAAGGCAGUAUUUAUCCAAACCUUUUCUCUCAAAGCACACGGUUUCUUUGGGGCUUUCAGAUUCGCGGGCAUCAGGGAAAUGCAGCAGCACGUAGUUUUGACUAAUUGGAUGCAUUAUUUAUAACAUCACUGACACACACACAGGGUUUUCAUUUUACAUACUGAAUAGAGAUUGGUGGCAGGCGUGCUGUGGACACAAACUGGGACAAUGACAUUACAUAUGAAUUACUGCUGUAACUGUUCAGCCUUGCCAGGCUACCUGAUCAGACUUAGAAACCUCUUCCCUUGAUGUCAACGGAGGGCCAAAGGCUCUAAUUAACUUCUGAACCUUGAUUAAAUGAAGUAUACAGGGCCUUGAGGUAAGUUAGAAAUCCGACCAGUUUAGACAGGUAAUUUAGCAAAAUAUUACACAGGCAGCCCCAGGAUAACGGCUAGCCGAUAUGAAAAUGUUUCAGAAAUCCAUGCUUGCUCUUUGUUCAUAUUCUUUUUUAGUAGCCAGUUUACUAUUUUUGGUUGCUUCAACAAGGAAGCAAUCUCUGCCGUAAAGAUGUGGGCCUGCUAUAUUCUCCUAGGAAGAAAACUUGGAAUUAAAUUCAUACAUCAUAUUCCUGUCUCCUGACCCUAACUGCAGAACACAUUGAUGCACGUUGCCUUAGUUUCACUGUGUUCCACUUACCUUUGGGUCAUCUGAAAAGCCUCCUGGUACUUGGUUAACUGGAUUCAGCUGAGGUGUCAGCUGGCUGCCACUACAUAAACAAAUAGUAAUAAUGCAAGCUGUGUCUAUAUCAUCAUGGAAAGGGGGAAAUAAAUCUGUUUAUUGUUUAAGGAGAAAAAAACGGGUCAUGACCUAUCUCAAACAUGGCAGAUAUAACCCUAUAUAUGUAACAGUGUAUUUUCUUAAUAAUGUUGUAUAACAGCCCAUGUGCAAGAAGCAGAAAUUCUGUGUCAAAGAUGUCAGAGAUCAAAUAUGCUAAUAAAAGCAUGGUAUCUACUUAAAUAGCUCUUACAUGAGUUAACAUUGAACAGAAUAAAGAAGAAACAAAAACCAACUGUGAGAACAUUGUCUUAAUGCCAUUGCUGCCUGCAAUGUUGGGUAAUAAUCACUUUAUAGGAAGAGGAAGGAAAUACCUGAAAAGAUACCUGAGGAUAUGUUAUUCCAAUUCUGCAUCACCACUCACAGUCUGAAAACUGGAAAAUACAUGUAUAUAUUUUUUUUCUCACAUAAUUUCUAGUUUGAGUUGUUAUGGCACGUAUAGAUUUAAAGGCUAAUAAAAUACCAGUCACAAAGAUGAUAAAAAUGUUUCCAAUACGCUACACUAAUAAGCAGAAUGUACAUCACAAAACUAUUUUGUGUGUUUAUGAUGUAUAUACAUGGUAUA
Molecule: non-coding RNA, 2751 nt
Organism: Anas platyrhynchos (mallard)
Lineage: Eukaryota; Metazoa; Chordata; Aves; Anseriformes; Anatidae
Source: RefSeq, a predicted model, not a curated record